RNAcentral lists this ribosomal RNA (301 nucleotides) under uncultured bacterium. RNAcentral describes it as "partial 16S ribosomal RNA". It matches the Rfam family "Bacterial small subunit ribosomal RNA", at positions 509 to 807 of the family's 1533-position model. The record is from RNAcentral.
CAGUCGCCACGGGAAUACGAAGGGGGCUAGCGUUGCUCGGAAUGACUGGGCGUAAAGGGCGCGUAGGCGGCGAUCAAAGUCAGGCGUGAAAUUCCUGGGCUCAACCUGGGGGCUGCGCUUGAUACUUGGUUGCUUGAGUGGGGAAGAGGGUCGUGGAAUUCCCAAUGUAGAGGUGAAAUUCGUAGAUAUUGGGAAGAACACCGGUGGCGAAGGCGGCGACCUGGUCCUUUACUGACGCUGAGGCGCGAAAGCGUGGGGAGCAAACAGGAUUAGAUACCCCUGUAGUCCCUGUCUCUUAUAC